ACACAGGUAAAUAGAAGUAUGUUUUGGUCCAGAUAGGAUUACUUUUAAUAGUUCGUUGAUCCUGUUUCAGAUCUCUCCGAUUGUAGCGGGUGAACUUUCCUGAGAAAAUCUCACAGCAAGUAAUUCAACUACUUCCAAGUAUGAACUUCCCGCUUCGAGAAGAUGUUAAUAUCAGCGGUCUUUUUUAUCAUUUGCAGGAAUAUCACCGUGGUGUGCUGCUGUCUGCCAAUCGUACCAAAAGCGUAGCAUGGAAUUUAACUCAGCUGUAAAUUCUGCCCCACGUCGGCCACGUCAGGCUCCUUGAACAGUUUCGUCCCUUAUUAAGGAAUAUCACAGUGGUGUGCUGGUGUCUGCCAAUCAAAAACGUAGCAUGAGAUUUAACGCAGCUGGAUCCUGCCCCACGUCAGGCUACUCGAACACUUUUGUCCCUUGAGAUGGAGGGAGAGUACUAGAUGCCGACAUGGACCUGCUCUGUGUCGCCGUCACAGGAACAGUACAAGCUGUGCAGACCGACUCGCCACUCUGAACGACUUUGGAAAGCGAAGAAUUGGCACAUGCUCUGUAUAUUUCUAAUCUUUUUUUGUAUUAAACUCCGUUUACAAAAUUUUGGUGGUUA
Molecule: long non-coding RNA, 616 nt
Organism: Macrosteles quadrilineatus (aster leafhopper)
Lineage: Eukaryota; Metazoa; Arthropoda; Insecta; Hemiptera; Cicadellidae
Exons: 4
Source: RefSeq, a predicted model, not a curated record